UACGUAGGGUGCAAGCGUUGUCCGGAAUUAUUGGGCGUAAAGGGCGCGUAGGCGGCUCGGCACGUCCGUUGUGAAAUCGCCCGGCUCAACUGGGCGGGGUCAGCGGAUACGGUCGAGCUUGAGCAAGCUAGGGGGCAAUGGAAUUCCCGGUGUAGUGGUGAAAUGCGUAGAUAUCGAGAGGAACACCUGCGGCGAAGGCGGGUUGCUGGGCUGACACUGACGCUGAUGCGCGAAAGCCAGGGGAGCGAACGGG
This 253-nucleotide ribosomal RNA is filed under the name uncultured bacterium. Its description in RNAcentral is "partial 16S ribosomal RNA". It matches the Rfam family "Bacterial small subunit ribosomal RNA", at positions 524 to 776 of the family's 1533-position model. The record is from RNAcentral.